UAUUAUUUUUGAAAUCAGCUAAAAAUUACACAUUUCUCUUCUUUUUUUUUAAAACUACAAUGGGAAAUUAUAUAACAAAAUAUUUUCACUAACACCACAAUCUGAUCUAAAAUCACAAAAUACUGAGAAGAUUAAAGAUUAAACAGCCAACCAUUGUAAAAAUAAUUUAAGGAUAAGAUGGAGGGAGACUUCACAUACAGCUUUAUAAGCAGAAAGAGAAGAAGUAGCAAUGUCACGGCGACGAAGAGAUCUGAGUAAUACGGCGGACGCCAUCGGAGAAAACAGUAAGGAACGACGAGCUUGCAGCUUCUGUUAAUGGAGGCUAGGGUUUAGGGUUUUAGAAAUUAUUCCAGUAGUGGCUUCGUGAAAGGGAAAAUAAAGGUGGCGUGGCGGUGUACAAUAAAACUACGACUGUGUGAGAAAGUUCUAGAGGUAUGCGAUGUCGCCUUCUAUACUCUUAUUUUUCUUUUUUCUGUUUCUUUUGCGUCCAUAAUUUUUUUUUUGAAUAUUUCCUUCUCUAAUAAUUGUCUAGUCAAUUAAUU
RNAcentral lists this long non-coding RNA (542 nucleotides) under Nicotiana benthamiana. Its description in RNAcentral is "long non-coding RNA (NBEN_LNC002673)". The record is from RNAcentral. Lineage: Eukaryota; Viridiplantae; Streptophyta; Magnoliopsida; Solanales; Solanaceae.